Molecule: ribosomal RNA, 406 nt
Filed under: uncultured bacterium
Lineage: Bacteria
Description: partial 16S ribosomal RNA
Rfam family: Bacterial small subunit ribosomal RNA
Source: RNAcentral
GACGAACGCUGGCGGCGCGCUUAACACAUGCAAGUCGAGCGAAUCGGCGGACUGGUGAGUAACACGUGAUUAACCUGCCUUAGACCUUGGGAUAGCCUCGGGUAACCGGGAUUAAUACCAAAUGGUCUAAGAUGGACUCGCGUCCCAUUAGCUAGUUGGGAGGUAACGGGCCACUAAGGCGACGAUGGGUAGCCUGGCUGGGAGGGUGAACGGCGACAUUUACACUGGGCAACAGUCCAAACUCUACGGGAGGGAGCAGUGGUGGAUAGUGCACCAUGGAGGGAACUCUGAUGCAGCGACGGCGGGAGAACGAAGAAGGCUUUCGAGAAGUAAAGUUAUUUUAUAUGGGAAGCGGUACCAGAAGAAAAAGCCCCGGCUAACUACGUGCCAGCAGCCGCGGUAAUUC